UGGGGAAUAUUGGACAAUGGGGGAAACCCUGAUCCAGCCAUGCCGCGUGAAUGAUGAAGGCCUUCGGGUUGUAAAGUUCUUUUGGCGGGGACGAUGAUGACGGUACCCGCAGAAUAAGCUCCGGCUAACUUCGUGCCAGCAGCCGCGGUAAUACGAAGGGAGCUAGCGUUGUUCGGAAUUACUGGGCGUAAAGGGCGCGUAGGCGGUCAAGCAAGUCAGAUGUGAAAGCCCUGGGCUCAACCCGGGAACUGCGUUUGAUACUGUUUGGCUUGAAUUCGGUAGAGGUGAGUGGAAUUCCCAGUGUAGAGGUGAAAUUCGUAGAGAUUGGGAAGAACACCAGUGGCGAAGGCGGCUCACUGGACCGACAUUGACGCUGAGGCGCGAAAGCGUGGGGAGCAAACA
Molecule: ribosomal RNA, 402 nt
Filed under: uncultured prokaryote
Description: bacterial SSU rRNA
Rfam family: Bacterial small subunit ribosomal RNA
Source: RNAcentral